Molecule: long non-coding RNA, 669 nt
Organism: Folsomia candida
Lineage: Eukaryota; Metazoa; Arthropoda; Collembola; Entomobryomorpha; Isotomidae
Exons: 4
Source: RefSeq, a predicted model, not a curated record
AAACUUGAUAACCCAAUUGUAUUGUAUUGUAUUUUCACACCGAUUAACCUGACAAAUCAUUUAUUUGACGGCGAUACCAUGUCCUGGUUUACAUCAAUGUAAACAGUAAAUGCAAUCAGCCCGAUGGGCUCCUUAUAUAUUUAUGUGGUAUACAGUUACCUGUUUAGUAGCAGGAUGGAUUUAAUCGAGCAAGUUUCAAAGUAUGGAAUGAAAAUAUGGCAAAUCAAUCAAUACUUAUUCAAAAAUUUGCAACACAUUCUGUUUACAAAACUGGAAAAAUUCUGGGGCAAGGAUCUUUUUCUGUGGUUGAUAAACGAAUUUUGGGGGGUAAUUAUGUCGCUAUUAAAACAAUAAGAAGGCAAAGCAAUAUACUUUGUCAAGUUAACGAAAUUAAUAUUUAAGUCGGCUUUGCCAUGAUAAUGUUGUUAAAAUGUUUGGUGUCCUUGAUGAUCCAGAUCCAGAUACCAAAAUCGUACUGGAAUAUCUAGAAUGCGGUUGCUUAUUUGAAUAUGUGUUAAAGACAGAAAUGACUGAGUCGGAUCAACUAAUUAUACUCAAAGGUAUCUCCAAAGGUAUGCAAUAUCUGCACGAGAUGAAUGUGAUCCACAGGGACCUCGCAUCCAGAAAUAUAUUGUUGGGGUCGCAAUUGACUGCAAAAAUUUCAGAUUU